RNAcentral lists this ribosomal RNA (253 nucleotides) under uncultured bacterium. RNAcentral's name for it is "partial 16S ribosomal RNA". It matches the Rfam family "Bacterial small subunit ribosomal RNA", at positions 524 to 776 of the family's 1533-position model. The record is from RNAcentral.
UACGGAGGGUGCGAGCGUUGUCCGGAAUCACUGGGCGUAAAGGGCGCGUAGGUGGCUCGUGAAGCGUGCGGUGAAAGUCCGAGGCUCAACCUCGGAUCGGCCGUGCGGACUCGCGGGCUCGAGCGUUGUAGAGGCGGGUGGAAUUCCGGGUGUAGCGGUGGAAUGCGUAGAGAUCCGGAAGAACACCGGUGGCGAAGGCGACACACUGGCCCGUUACUGACGCUGAGGCGCGAAAGCGUGGGGAGCAAACAGG